GGCGAGUCGCUGCCUCCAUAGUGACGGAUGCGCGGCUUCCCCAGAACACGGAGGGAAGGGAGAUGUGCCAGGGAGUGUCAGGCUGUCCGCGGCUUUGGAUUGACGGGGAACCCGGCUGCUGAAGUCUCCGGGCUGCACGGUCUACCUCAUCAGCGAGUUGCUCGUUUGUGGGGAAACUGAAGGAACUGAACUUCCUGCUGCUGCCUGCGUCAGAGAUGCGUUGGAGGAGUUGGUGCAUGAAGGUGGUGUGCAGCCUAACAUAAUGAACCUGAAUGAAUAAGGAAAUCAGAAGAAAGUUUCUGUGCAUUUUUGCUCCAAUGAAGAAUGGGUGGCCCAAUGACACUGCCAGUAGAGUGGCAUGUGUUUUCAACCUGGUCUGCAGUGCUGUCUACAUGAGCUUGCACAUUCUCACCAUGGCCAGCUCAUGGAAACUCUUGAUAAUCCUCAAGCCCUGGCCAAGAGUUACAUUAAGGCAAAGGACUAACUGUACCGUUGACUGAAUGGGAAGCUAAAGCAGUACUUUAAAGUGAUUGGCCCUGAAGACAGCAUGCCAACACUGGCAAGUUUGGGAUUUGGUACAUGGCUAUCUGAAUGCGAAUGUCCUGAAGUUGUUGAUAGAUUCACCAGCAAGAAUCUGUUAUUAUGCUCAGCUGUUGCUUGCCACAUGGUUCAGGGUCUCUGAGCCCAUUCAAUGGAACAGAAAUGUUAUGAUUGUAGCGAAGAAAGGAAAGAACAUGCAGUAAAGGAACGUGAUACAAGGCUAUGGGACGUUCACUUCCAUCACUCAUAACAUAUGGCAUGACUGCAUCUAUACCAUAAGGCGAGGCGUCACAGGCAAGCUUCACUGGAUGGCGUGGAUCAUAAUGUGAAGGCAGAAGGGUUUCAUCCAUUAAUUAGAAAUUAACAUCAGUGUCGCUUGAGGUUUGUGCUACAGGAAGACCCACUUCUGACAGGAGCCGGUGACGUACAGAUUGGAACUCGAUCGAAGGAUCCAAUGGGAUGCUGUGUCUGGAGAGCUACCUCGUGGAGAUCGGAGAAUGGGGGCCAUAAGACCGAGAACAGAAAUUGGCUCAUGGAACAGUCCAGAGACGAGGCGCAGGGUCAUGAACGAGUCCAUCUUGAAGUGGUGAGGAAGAUUGAAGCAUUGAGGAGAUUGCAGAGUGGAUCAGUGAUGGCUCCCUAUGGAGUCGGUCAGCAGCUGGAUCGGCGACGUUUGGAACCGGGUGGGCGGUCACUCGUUAUGGACGGACUGAGUUUGAGCAGCCACUCUCCUCGUAUGCAGACAAAAAGAUGUUCCCAAUUUUCUCAGAUUUAUGUGAUUAUUGGACUGUACUUUAUAUUGGUUUCAUUCAGUUUUUCGGUGUUUUCUUUUUUGUGAACAAUUGGCAGAUGGAUGAUCUA
Long non-coding RNA from Mobula hypostoma (lesser devil ray), 1401 nucleotides. RefSeq lists it as uncharacterized. The record is from RefSeq and is a predicted model, not a curated record. Lineage: Eukaryota; Metazoa; Chordata; Chondrichthyes; Myliobatiformes; Myliobatidae. The transcript is spliced from 7 exons.